RNAcentral lists this long non-coding RNA (398 nucleotides) under Elaeis guineensis (African oil palm). RNAcentral describes it as "long non-coding RNA (EGUI_LNC018959)". Lineage: Eukaryota; Viridiplantae; Streptophyta; Magnoliopsida; Arecales; Arecaceae. The record is from RNAcentral.
CUUCUUAACCAAAAGCAUAAUAGUAGUGCAGACUGAAGGAGAAGAAAUCUGAAUAUAAUCAAUCAAUCAAUAUUUUCUACUUAUUUAUGAAAGAAACUUACCUUCUUAACCAAAAGCAUAAUAGUAGUGCAGACUGAAGGAGAAGAAAUCUGAAUAUAAUCAAUCAAUCAAUAUUUUCUACUUAUUUAUGAAUGAAAUAUUCUAGUGUCUAAAAACGAACACAAAAACUUGGAUAACAAUAAACUGCAAUAGGGUUUGCAGUAAGGAAAACCCUACUCUGACCCCAUUUUGAGGGAAGUAGAAGAGGAGUCAGAUGAUGGAUAAAUAUCAAGGGCUUCAUAGGGAUAUACAAGUGGAGGGUCAAUAAAACCAAAAGAUGGAGGAGGUUGCUGCAGGUC